Molecule: ribosomal RNA, 691 nt
Filed under: Collybia dealbata
Lineage: Eukaryota; Fungi; Basidiomycota; Agaricomycetes; Agaricales; Clitocybaceae
Description: eukaryotic LSU rRNA
Rfam family: 5.8S ribosomal RNA (bases 290-443)
Source: RNAcentral
AGAGGAAGUAAAAGUCGUAACAAGGUUUCCGUAGGUGAACCUGCGGAAGGAUCAUUAUUGAAUAAACUUGGUUGGGUUGUUGCUGGCUUUUCGGAGCAUGUGCACGCCUAGCGCCAUUUUUACCACCUGUGCACUCUUUGUAGAUUUGAAACACCUCUCGAGGAAACUCGGUUUGAGGACUGCUAUGCGAAAGCUARGCUUUCCUUGCGUUUCAAGUCUAUGUUUUUAUAUACCCCAUAAGAAUGUUUUAGAAUGUCAUUAAUGGGCUUUAUUGCCUCUAAAUUAAUACAACUUUCAACAACGGAUCUCUUGGCUCUCGCAUCGAUGAAGAACGCAGCGAAAUGCGAUAAGUAAUGUGAAUUGCAGAAUUCAGUGAAUCAUCGAAUCUUUGAACGCACCUUGCGCUCCUUGGUAUUCCGAGGAGCAUGCCUGUUUGAGUGUCAUUAAAUUCUCAACCUUUUCAGCUUUUGCGAGCUGGGAUUGGCUUGGAUGUGGAGGUUUGCGGGCUUUACAAAAGUCGGCUCCUCUUAAAUGCAUUAGCAGAACCUUUGUGGAUCAGCUUUGGUGUGAUAAUUAUCUACGCCAUGGUUGUGAAGCAGUUUUACAUGAGGUUCCGCUUCUAACCGUCCAUUAACUUGGACAAUUUUUGACAUUUUGACCUCAAAUCAGGUAGGACUACCCGCUGAACUUA